CCAUGUGGUGAUUCAGUAAGGUAAGUUUAUUGCUCUUAAAUAUUUGAUAAUUUCACCUUUUCAAAGUGUGGUAUCUUGAGUUACAAAAACGACUAUCAUUCAGUGAAAUGCCAAAAAAAAACUUUUAUUGUUAGAUUUUUUGAAAAAUAAGUAGAUGUUGUGAAUAAUGAUGAUAAACCUUUCUGGUCAAGUUCACUGUUUGAUAUAGGUAUCUAGUUGUUAACUACUAAUAUUAGCUAAAGUAAAAGUUUUGUCAUUCAGGGUAAUGUUUUGUCAUUCGGUGUAAUGCAAAUUGUAUGUUACACCACAGUGUCAUCCAUUACACUGAAUGACAGUGUCACUGUUUAGAUAACAUUUUUAGCAUUUUAUUUCUAUUUCAGAUAAAUGAGGGAUGUUUAGCCCAAAAGAAAUAUAUCAAACUUUAUCAAUAUUAAUGUUUUAAUGCAUUUUUGUCGUUUUGGUACUGAUUUCUUUUAGAUGCCCACAAACAAAGAGAAAGUUUCUAGGCACUGGCAGAAAGUUAAUGCAGACCCAGUAGCUAGGGCAAUGCAUUUAGCAAGGAGACGAGAAAGCAACCAGAGAAGAAAGCAAGCUGCCUUGGCUGCAAAUCCUGAUCACCCGUCAAUCAGGAAUUUAUCAGAUGCUGCAGCUGAGAAGAGGCGAAAGCAAUGGCGGGAAAAUCAAAGAAAACACAGGGCAGAAGCUAAACGUAUAAGGGCAGUUCUGGAUCUUAUUAUACAGUAUUACCACCUGUUCAGUUAAUUUUUACGAAUAUGAUAUGCAUUGUGGAAUAAAAUGAUUAUUAAUUUCAGCAUCUACUUCUGUGAUUUGUUUAGGAAUAAAAUGAUACAGAAUAAUAUUCAAAACA
Misgurnus anguillicaudatus (oriental weatherfish) is the source of this 868-nucleotide long non-coding RNA. RefSeq lists it as uncharacterized. NCBI's taxonomy places the organism in Eukaryota, Metazoa, Chordata, Actinopteri, Cypriniformes, Cobitidae. The record is from RefSeq and is a predicted model, not a curated record.